RNAcentral lists this ribosomal RNA (254 nucleotides) under uncultured archaeon. RNAcentral's name for it is "partial 16S ribosomal RNA". It matches the Rfam family "Archaeal small subunit ribosomal RNA", at positions 474 to 727 of the family's 1478-position model. The record is from RNAcentral.
CACCGGCGGCUCGAGUGGUAACCGUUAUUAUUGGGUCUAAAGGGUCUGUAGCCGGCCGGAUAAGUCUCUUGGGAAAUCUGGCAGCUCAACUGUCAGGCUUUCAGGAGAUACUGUCUGGCUCGAGGCCGGGAGAGGUGAGAGGUACUUCAGGGGUAGGGGUGAAAUCUUGUAAUCCUUGAAGGACCACCAGUGGCGAAGGCGUCUCACCAGAACGGACCUGACGGCAAGGGACGAAAGCUAGGGGCACGAACCGG